UUCAUUUAUGUUUAGUAGCAAAAAUUGAUAGGAAAAAGAAAAAAAAUUCAAUGGUCUCAUGACAUAUGUGUCAUGAAUGCAUCUGCUUUCUUUGACCCAUUCAAUCGUCGUUGCUUUUCAGACCAUUCAUUACAAUUAAUAGCUUGCAUUGGCACUCAUAGUCACAUCCAAAAUUAUGUUUUUGUCAUUCUGUAUUUGUGCGUCGUGGUCAAAACACACAAAGGAGCAUUAGGUUCUAUACAUAAAUAUAUAGAAAUCUGAUUUCAUGAAUACGCAAAAUGCAUGAUUCAAUAUAUAUAAUUUGCUAAUUUUAAGACUUAUCUUAUAGUUAAGGUUUAACAACCGUAAACCUUAACUAUCUCUAAAUUUCAGCAAUUAAUUUUUCAACCAAGGGCACAGAUAGCAUAAUAGAACCGUAAAUCAAAACUUGCCAGAACUUUAACAUUUUCUUUAUUUUUAGCAACAAAUACAAGCAAAUACAGAUUUACGAUUGUGUACCUAAUGCCUAAGUCAGAAAUCGAAUCGAUCAAACUCGAGGACAAAACUCAGAUUCAACAACAAUCUUGGAGAGUUUAAACACUCUUGAAAUCCCAGAAAAACACGAGCCAACAAACUGAAAUCUUUCUUUCUUCUUUUUUUUUAAAAAUCUUUUUUUCGGAUCUGAAAACCAAUUUUUAUUGCUGGGUUUCGGAUUUUUAUGUAUUUUUCGCGUGUGAGCAUGAGUAUAAAGGCGAGUGACUAGGAGAUGAGAGGGGAGAUCUUCCUCUUUUCCUUGAAGUUCUGUGGCUGAAGUUUUUCGGGAUAUCUUCGUGUUUUUCGAUCUAAGCUAAAGACGAGGAAGAGGCCAGAAACGACGCCUAGGUUUCUAGUGGGGAAGCAUCUCUGUGGUUUUUGUCUGGUUUGGAGAAAAUGAGAGGUAAUGAAGAAGAGAAACCCCUGAGAAAAUGGGGUAGGGUCUCCU
This 961-nucleotide long non-coding RNA is filed under the name Nicotiana benthamiana. RNAcentral's name for it is "long non-coding RNA (NBEN_LNC038067)". The record is from RNAcentral. Lineage: Eukaryota; Viridiplantae; Streptophyta; Magnoliopsida; Solanales; Solanaceae.